Molecule: ribosomal RNA, 118 nt
Organism: Neogale vison (American mink)
Lineage: Eukaryota; Metazoa; Chordata; Mammalia; Carnivora; Mustelidae
Source: Ensembl
GUCUACAGCCAUACCACCCUGAAUGCGCCCGAUCUCGUCUGAUAUCGGAAGCUAAGCAGGGUCAGGCCUGGUUAGUACUUGGAUGGGAAACCUUAACCCGAAUUUGUGUAUGCAGAGU